Long non-coding RNA from Lycium barbarum (goji berry), 4565 nucleotides. RefSeq lists it as uncharacterized. Lineage: Eukaryota; Viridiplantae; Streptophyta; Magnoliopsida; Solanales; Solanaceae. The record is from RefSeq and is a predicted model, not a curated record. The transcript has 7 exons.
GAACGCUCUACCCUCUCCAUACUGGGUAUGUUGUUGUUGUUGAAAAGUGAAAAGGGUGAAUCUUGAUACUCAAAACUAGCUCUUUUUUGCUUCAAAGUAUUGUUGUUUCACAAACAAAAAUAGCUGGCUUUCUCAUGAAAUUUGUGAGGGGGUAAACUUAAUUUUUUGCUAAUUUGAAAAUUUCUGAUUGUUGAAGUUUGAGACUUUUUUGCUUUCUUAAGGAUUAUGUUUUUAACCUUUUUGCAUUUGCUGAAAUUUUAUGGCUUAAUAUGCUUGUCUUGUUUGCUAAUUUCAUUUUUCAGAGCUAAAGUAGCUAAUAAUAUUAUGAAAAGUUGUUGUAUAUAGUUUUCUUUGAACCCGUUUUGAAAUUUUCUGAUUCUUUGUUAAAGAUCGAAAUUUUUUAGUUUAUUUGGGAUUCUGUUUUGACACUCUAUUGCAUUUGAUCAAAUCCUUUGUCUCACUCGGUCGUCAUAUGUUUUAAUUUUAUAGGGGACAAACUUCACAUAAAAGAAAGGUUGGGGGACCAAUUCUGUUUUAAUUUUAAUUGGGCACGCACAGCAUACCAUCAGUGAAUGGUGAAGCCCUAAUUGAGGCAUUUAUCACUAAAACUGAUAAAGCUAAAAGGGAUAAAAAAUUUAAGUUUCAAAAGCAUAUUAGAGAAACCCCAUUUGGUUAAAAUUCAAGAAUUUGCAGCUUAAAAGCUAGGAAAAGGGAAGAAGAAUACAAAGAAGAGAAAGAGGAAAAUUCAGAUGUUCCACCAGAUGAGGAUCAAUGUCAUGAAGCACUUACUUCAUAAAUACAUGAAGAAUUUUCCACAGAAGUCUGCUCAUUUCCAUGAAGUUGAAAUUCAUGACAUAACUUCUAUAUAUACCCACAAUAAGCAAUGCGCGGCCAAUCCCACGAGUUCCUUUUUCAGAUAACCUCACUUGAUUUUUUGGCAAAAUUUCAGCUUGAUUUUGAAUGUGUGCAUAUGUGAAGGUAAGUCUUUAACUUCGUGUUUUCUCCUGGACAACCUAAUGCAAUUAUAACCUCUUUACUGUUUGUUAUCAACUUUGGUCGUUUGCUACCUUUCGGCUUUAACUUUUCUCAACUUUCGAGAUUUCAGUUGACUCGAAUUUAAAAGAAAGGUUUAAACGAUAAAUCUAUAUGUACAUAUAUAAAGCUGGGAAUAAAAAGGAGAUGUGACGCUUUCCUGUGCCCAGCAAUGCAUCUAUAUCUUUUCUCCCUUUUUGGACAAUUUUUCACUUUUCCCCUUUUUUGGCCUAUUUCCUUCAUUUAUUAUUUAUGUGUGUUUCAUAGGAAAAACUCAACAAUCGCUUUUAAUAUUUACAACCAACAGCGGCUUCCUUAUUUACAUUCUUGUUACCUUGUUACCUCAACUUAAAAGAGAUCAAUAGUUCUACACUUUGCAACAUGAUUCGGAGCCAACAAUAGAAGUUAAUGUUUCAGCACAAAUGCAACAUUCUUCAGAUUCAAUGUAAACCAAUAUAAGGGUAGGAUUUCCAAGAGAAUAAAUUCUUCAACCGUGAAAGCAAGCAAGUUAAGUAUAGAAAUGUGAUACAUGUGUAAAUUGAUGACUUCAGGGCAAGCUUCAUCACAUUAAUUUUACAGCAAAACUUUUCAAAAAAAAAAAAAAGGAACCCAGAUGAUCAAAUUCUGGAUUUCAUCACCUUUCACUUUUCUAAGUGCAAAGAUUGAAACUCUGAGAACCAAAACGAAACGAAACAAAACAAAAGAAGAAAAAAACGAAAACCCAGAUGAACAAAUUCUUCGAUCUUCAAAAAAAAUUAGAGUUAUAAAGUGCAAAAGUUGAAAUUUUGAGGGAAAAAGGUAAUGGAUACCUUUGGGUUAUUGUUGCCAAGAAGAUGAAGAGAUUGCAGUUGGAAGAAAUGAAAGCCAACCCAUUUCUGAAGGGACCAAGUGCUGGGAUGCUGUAACCGUACAGUUCUGCGUAUUUGCUUUUUUUUUUUUUUUUUUUUUUUUUUUGUAUUUUAAUUGAAAUUUUCUGGUACUACACUUGUCACUCUACUGUGAUUGGUUUUGCCUAUCCUAUUAUAUAUACGUAGAUAGAUAUUCCGAGUACAUCUAUCGGAAUAUUAAUAAUAUUUUUCAUUAACUUUUUAAAGGUGUUCCGACUACAGUUGUCGGGAUGUUUGGUCAAAAUUAUGUUGACUAUUUUUAUAUGACUUGUCCGACUAUCGUAGUCGGAAUAUUUUAUUCCCGAAAUUUCCUGCCAAACAUUACAUUGCAGUGGUCAGAAGUGGUGUUGGAUAAAUAUAUUUUUUUUUUAAAAAUAAAACAUAAAAAUUGAAUUCCCCGUCUAUAGUAGUUGAAAAAUUGCGACUGAUUUUUUGUAAUCAGAAUUGGUAGUCCGAAAAAGACAAUUUUCUGUUAGUGUGUAAUCUAUAUAUAUAAUAUAAAGGUAGGCAAAAAAAAAAAAGAUGUGCAUCUCUCUUUGGCCAUGGAUCCCAUUUAUUUUUUUUUCUCCUUUUUUGACGUUUCUCUCUUAUUUUUUUAUUUAUCUUAUUUGAAAAAAUCUCACCUCUAUAACUCACACCUCUUCACCUUCUACUCUUAAUAACACAUAACAACCAUAACUACCAUGCUUUUCAUUCCCAUAACCCCAAAUAUUUAAUGUUAAAUUAAUGACAUUUUAUGAUGUUUCAACAUGUAUUCUUCUGUAAGUUAUUUUUUUAAUUUAAAUUGUCUAUGAUUGGUUACCAUUUCCUAAUUGUAAACUUUUCCUUUCAAAUGUUAGUUUCUCAUAGCAUAUUUCACUACGGUGAUUUACAUGAAAAUGGGUAUGUAAUGAAAGCGAAAAGUAGAUUUUAGGUGUUUUCCAAAGUUGUAUUUGAAAUUUUCAUGGUUAAACGUUGAUUUUCAAAUAAAGUGAAAAAUUUCCGAAAAUAAUUCUCAUGGCCAAACGGGUCCGAUUCGUAAAAUAUUUAUCGAACUCUAUCCGUAAGAUUUGAUGGAAACAGGGGUAAAAAUAAAUUUAACUAUAAAUAUCAAGAAAGUCUCAUCAAAUCCUAAAAUUUACAAAAUAAAAAACUACACUAGACACUAAGUAGAUACUAAUUAACCGAAAUUGAUGCAUUAGACCUAGAAUAUAAAUUAAAAAUAACAAAAACUACAAAUUGCAUUUCUAAAUUUGUGUGUUACCUGCUAAUUUCAUUUUUUUCAUCGUUUACGUCAAAUCUAACACUCGGAGUGCGGUAAAUAUAUAAAAGAAACUAAAAGUGCUAACUUUUGACAAAUAAAAAAGACAAACACUGUAAAGUGCACAAUUAACGGACUAUUUUUAACCUACCCUCCAACAUAAGAGACCAAUUUUUCAUUUUAUCAAACAAACACCAUACAUACUUGACCCUUUUUGGGCUACAUGUCAACGUUAACCCGAGUGAACCCAAAAAGAGAAGGGAUUUUUUUUUAUAAAAAAGAAAUUCAAAAGAGAAACCCCAUUUGGUUAAAAUUCAAGAAUUAAAGGUAACUUACAAAUGAGCCAACUGUAUAUCUUUUUUUUUUUUUUUUUUUUUUUGGUUCAAAGUUUAGAACUUUUUGCUUUUUUAAUGAAAUUUUAUGGCUUUAUAUGCUUGUUUUCUUUGCUUAUUUCGGGUUUCAUAGCAAAUAAUAAUAUCAUCAAGAAAAUGAGCCAUUCAUCAGUGAAAUCAGACGAGCAAAAAAAUUUUUUUUUUUUAGUUUAAAAAGCAUAUUGGAGAAACCCCAUUUAGUUAAAAUUCAAGAAUUUGCAGCUUAAAGAUAAAUUUUUUUCUUCCUUACAAAUGUGCUAACUGUUUUUCGUUUUCAAGAUUGUUUCCCUUCUCACAAACAAAGAAGAGAGGGGGGGGGGGGGGGGGGGGAGAGAGAGAGAGAGAGUUUGUUGACCUUUUUGGCUUUGUGGUCAUGUACACUAUUUUGUUUCUGCCAUUGGGGCGGAAAGAACAAAGUGCUUCCAGAUGGAUCCACUUCGUAUGUGGGAGGUAUUACCGAUCAGAUUAUUGUGAAGACAGGCAUAAAGUAGAACGAUUUUGUGAAUGCAGUUUUCGACCGAUUAGGGAUUGAUCCUUCAGAUAAAGUCUUACAGUUUACAGUGAAGUUUGAUAAGGGCCCAAUUGAUACGGCUCAGAGACCAAGAAGGUGUCAAUAUUUUGUUACAAUUUAAUGACGGUUUUGCCCACGUUUAUGCAUCAAGUUCAGAGAAGGAGCCUAAUUCUGCAGUUGCUCCGGCUACCACUAGGAUUUCAACCACUGAGGUCGAAGCAGUCUCUCUCGGAAGUGCUGAGGAUGAACAAGUGAGUGCCGAUUCCAAUUCUCGCACCUUCACACCAAUGGAUCACUGAUGGAACUCCAGAUGCUGCUGCCAACUGGAGUGAAUUACUUGUUGGGGAAGGACAAGCCUUUCGAGAACGCUGAUGCUUUUAGGAAGAACAAGUUUUUCAUUUUUAAGAUUGUUUCCCUUCUCACAAAUAAAAAAGAAAGAAAGAAAGAGAGAGUUUGUUGCCUUUUUUGGCUUUGUGGUCAUGUACUUGUUCACGAUGGGAACUGAAGAUAACACAUGUCUUUAU